RNAcentral lists this unclassified non-coding RNA (328 nucleotides) under soil metagenome. RNAcentral describes it as "partial contains 5.8S ribosomal RNA, internal transcribed spacer 2, and large subunit ribosomal RNA". The stretch from base 1 to 120 matches the Rfam family "5.8S ribosomal RNA", at positions 35 to 154 of the family's 154-position model. The record is from RNAcentral.
GAUGAAGAACGUAGCGAAAUGCGAUAAGUAAUGUGAAUUGCAGAAUUCAGUGAAUCAUCGAAUCUUUGAACGCACAUUGCGCCCCUUGGUAUUCCGAGGGGCAUGCCUGUUCGAGCGUCAUUAUAACCCCUCAAGCUCAGCUUGGUGUUGGGGCCUGCCGCACGGGCAGCCCUUAAAAUCAGUGGCGGUGCUAUCUGGCUCUAAGCAUAGUAAUUCUUCUCGCUAUAGAGUCCCGGUGGAUGCUUGCCAUUAACCCCCAAUUUUCUAUGGUUGACCUCGGAUCAGGUAGGGAUACCCGCUGAACUUAAGCAUAUCAAUAAGCGGAGGA